AGCAGUAUGGUGUACUGUGCACACGGGUUCUCCUGAAAAAUGCAUGAUAAGUUAAUAUCCCCGAGGUCCUCGUUCGAUUCGAGGUGCUGCUC
This is a non-coding RNA of Mycena vulgaris, 92 nucleotides long. The record is from the annotation of a GenBank genome assembly. Lineage: Eukaryota; Fungi; Basidiomycota; Agaricomycetes; Agaricales; Mycenaceae.